Molecule: non-coding RNA, 484 nt
Organism: Callorhinus ursinus (northern fur seal)
Lineage: Eukaryota; Metazoa; Chordata; Mammalia; Carnivora; Otariidae
Source: RefSeq, a predicted model, not a curated record
CCUGCAGAACAAAACCUGGUCAGCAUUGUAUGAAACAGACUCACCUAAGAGGUGGAAUUCAGUGGUAUUCCAUUUUGGGCUGCACAGAGACCCAUGAUGACUGCUUCAAGAAAAAGACAAUGUCUUCUGGAAUGCAUUUUAUUUACUGCUGCCAUCACACCCUGUGCAAUUUCUGAGCCAGUGGCCAAUUUCCAAGUUGGUUGAUGGGACAGCCAAUCUCCAAGUCUGACCUGGUCAUCACAAGACAACAGGCUACCACUAAGGGGCCCUCUGCGAACACCUCAGAUCUUUGCAGGUCAUACGAGUUGUGGUCUGAAACCAACUCUGGUUUUCAAGGAGCCUCACUUCUUCCCCACCACCGUAAACUCCUCCCAGAAACAUCCUUUUCAACACCAUGUCUCCUCUCUCCUCUUUCUGCUUAAUUCCCCUUCUGGUGAUUUCAAAGCUAUCAAGAAGUAAAAAUGUAAUUCCCUGAGUCAAGUUA